Macaca mulatta (Rhesus monkey) is the source of this 107-nucleotide small nuclear RNA. The record is from Ensembl. Lineage: Eukaryota; Metazoa; Chordata; Mammalia; Primates; Cercopithecidae.
GUGGUCACUUUGGUAGCACGUAUACCAAAAUUGGAAUGAUACAGAGAAGAUUAGCAUGCCACCUGCGCAAGGAUGACAAUUUUUUCUUUUACUUUUUUUCUUUCUUU